AGCCACCCUCGCCCCCGCCAAAACAAACAGACAAAAAACUGUCAUUCUCAUAUGACCACGGACUCUGCGCCCCGGCCGCAGGCGGAGGACAGGGAGGAGCGCACACGAGAAAGCUCCCACGCGCCCGCGCCUCGCCUCCGACGGGAAGGCGCCUCUUCCGACCGUCCUGGAUGCAAAUUAAAUACUUCCCUCCGCAGAAGACUUAUCUCGGGGUAGGGCCGCAGCCGGAUUUCCAAAUCGCGGGUUUGAUUUUCGCUGCGUCCUCUCCGCGACGCGCGCAGGGAGCGCGCCCGGCCACCUGCAGCCUCUGGCUGCGGCCAUCUUUCCGCCUGGGGCCACCUGGCCUGCGCCCUUUGUGCCCGGCCCGCUCCGUGACUGUUCUUCUUGCCGCUACUUACAGAACUCAGCCGCCUUAGCGUCUUAGAGAAGAGGACGGCAUGCAUGCGGACCCCGUCCACCACACCUGGAGAGCAGGGAGCCCUUAGUCCCUGGACACUUACCAGGGCCGCCACCCCUGGUCCACGCACGUGAUGACAUCUCACCAGGGGCAGCACACCGCCCGAGUCCGCGACACUGAUAACACCUCCUGCGGGCAGGAGGGCGCCACAGCCACCCCUGGUCCCCUAGAUUGUGUGAGGCUAGCAUUUCUGCCCGCCUCUUGGCGUGGACAGCACGCUGGACCGAGAUGGAACCACAGCUUUCUCUUCCCAAUCCCUGGCCUCACCGUUUUGUUUCAUACCUCACCGUUUGUUUCAAACCUCGUGGUGUUGAAAUGAUUAAAUGAGAUUAAGGGGUGUGUGGUAGUGUUGGGCAAACCACAAGAAAACGGUCUGGGUGGGGUCUGGCCCUAAAAUCUUCCUCCCCCACCUCCCAGGCUUCCUUGCCUUGCUGCUUCCUCUCAGCCUUUAAACAGGUUGGCCUCUCCAAGUCCUAAAAACAAAAUUAUCAAGCCAACCUCCUCCUGAAGUGCUCCCUCCAACUAGCUUCCAAGUGUUUCAUGCGGACCUCAAACAAUGGUCUUCCCUGGCUGCCUCUGCUUCCUCAUUUCUCAACACUUGGCAUUCUGGCUUCUCCUCCCCAACUCUAACCCUUCACCUUGCUCAGGCAAGAGCAACUCAUGACUUUCAUUUUGCCAAACCUUGCAGGCAUUCCUCAGGCCUUAUCUCUCUGGUUCUUUCUGCUACAUUUGACACCUUGGGAUGACUCUCACCUUCUGGAAUCUCUCUACUACCUUGGUUUCAGAAGAGUGAACCCUCUGGAUUAUCACAUGAAGCUACUUCCUGUGAGCAGCCCAGGGAUGGCCAGUCACUUGUGACCUACUUUCAGAGCUGGCAGUUCUGACUUCUAGAACAAACUCGGAACAAGCCCAUCUACAGCUGGUUGACUGAGUUUCCUUUGGGCUCCUGGCACCAGAAAGAAUUGCUCACUGGAAGGAUCAUAGGUGGCACUCAUGUCUCACUGCCCCACUCAGGCAACAUCAUGCACGCGGAUGAUCAACAGUCAGUUCCUGGUCAACAUAAGUAAACAAGCCUGUUUAAGAUAAAUUCCCCCACACUCCCUUGUACCUACUCCUUGCCCUCUGCCCCAGGGUUAUAGAACAGCUGCUUUCUGCUAUUCUCCCCCCAGGCUCUGCAGAACCUUCUGACCUUUCAGAAGGUUUGCAUCCUUUCCCUAUAGUUUUUCCACCGCUCUGACCAGUCCCCCACAAUAUAUAGCCUUGUAUGCAAAGCCAGGCCUGUCCAUGCAGGGUGACCAUCCAAGGUAGACAGUGGCAAAAUCUGGUGGAGGCAUCAGAGAUAGUGCCAUCAGUUUGCUGGAACAAGCAUAUCAAGGAGCCUGGCAGAUCUACACUUCACCAGACGGUGCCUGUAGCCAACAGGGCAGGCCCUUGCUCCAGGGAAACACUCAGAAAUCAAAACUCCUUGCUCUGCUGCCAGGGAACUCUCCAGGAGAUCCUCAGUGUCAUCAGAAGCUGAAAAAAACAGUGCUGAGAAACGUGGCCUGCCGUCUUUCCAGCUAAGGGAGAUGGCCCAUUCGACCCUGGGUUGUCCUCUGCAAACGCGCUGCUGCAGGUUGCAUGGCACCAUCUCCUGAUUGCAAUUUGCUUUCCUGAGGGAGUGAACUGACUGAAAUUGGAUGGUAAUAAGUUGCUAGGUUAUUUUCCACUUUUUAGUUUAUGAGGCUUAUUCAUUUUGCUUUAACAUUAACCACUGCCUUCCUUUUAAGGAGCUGGUGAGGCAGCGCAUGGCAACAGGUUCAGGGUGAGGAGUGGCACCACCUCCUUUCAGUGAGGAUUUGGGAAGGGUGAAAAGCACCCUAAUCUUCUCAGCCGCAUGUGAACAAACCACCUGUCAAGGUGGGUCCUUCCUAUAGGGAGGUUGAUGUCAGCCCUUCAGGGAGGUCUCAGUUUUCUUCCUCCACUUCCUAAUCCCUUCAUUAUAAUUCCUUCCACAACAGAAUAAGUUUCUUGAGCAAUGCAGCAAUAUCCAGCAAUUUUAGAUAGACAUUUACCUUUUGACCUAGAAAUCUCACUUCUACGAAUCCAUCCUAAAGACACACUUUCAGCUGGAUGUGGUCGCUCAUGCCUGCGAUCCUAACACUCUGGGAGGCUAAAGUGGAAGAAUCUCUUGGGCUCAGGAGCUCAAGACCAGCCUGGGCAACAUAGGAAGACCCUAUCUCUAAAAAAAAUAAAAAUAAAAACGGCACACAGUCAAAAAUUCAAAAAUUAAUAUACAUAAGGCUAUUUAUUACAGAAACAUUGGUAGUAGCAAAAGACUGGAAAUAACUCAAUGCCCAUCAAUAGGGAACGGAGUAAAUAAACUAAGAUACCUACACAUAAUGGAGUGCCAUGCAGCUUUGAAAGGAAAUGAGGCAUAUUUCUAUGUUAUAUGUUGUGAUCACCAGAAUAUAACCUAAUGAGUAAAAAGCCAGGUGAAGAAAAUUCUGAUAAUAUGCUAUCAUUGGAGAGGGGAAUAUGAAUAUACCAUACAUCACAUAGGAGGAGAGAGGAAAUAAAGUGAGAGGAUUGGGAUAGAAGCUAGACUUUUCUAAAUAUAUCUUGUUUUAUAGAUUUAUGUUGGAAGUUUGUGGAUAUAGUACUUUAGAAAAGUAUAAAACCAAAUUAGACUUGACAAAAUGAAACAAGUCAAUCUGUUGAGUUGAUGGUGUAACUACACAGUGAGAAACUAUUGCAAAUGACCUUAACACUCAGGAAUUCCACUGUAUAUUCCUAAUGGGAGAUCCCCUAAUGACCAAACUUAAACCCAGUCCAACCAAACCAAAAAACCUUGUAAAAUAUCUGAAACCAUUUUUAGUAAUGAAAUGAGAAAUGUGGUCGUGUUGGUGAUAUGGUUUGGCUGUGUCCCCACCCCGACAUCAUCUUGAAUUGUAACUCCCACAAUUCCCACAUGUCAUGAGAGGAACCCAGUGGGAGGUGAUUGAAUUAUGGGUGUGGGUCUUUCCUGCGCUGUUCCCAUGAUAGUGAAUGACAAGAUCUGAUGAUUUUAAAAACGGUUUCCCCGCACAACCUCCCUCUCUUGCCUGCCACCAUCUAUGUAAGAUGUGACUUGUUCCUCCUUGCCUUCCGCUGUGAUCGUGAGGCCUCCCCAGCCAUGUGGAACUGUAAGUCCAUUAAACCUCUUUUUCUUCCCAGUCUCGGGUAUGUCUUCAUCAGCAGCAUGAAAAUAAACUCAUACAGUAAAUUGGUACCAAUAAAGUGGGGUGCUGCUGAAAAGAUACCCAAAAAUGUGGAAGCGACUUUGGAACUGGGUUAUCAGGCAGAGGCUGGAACAGUUUGGAGGGCUCAGAAGAAGACAGGAAAAUGUGGGAAAGUUUGGAACUUCCUAGAGACUUGUUGAAUGGCUUUGACAAAAAUGCUGAUAGUGAUAUGAACAAUAAGGUCCAGGCUGAGGUGGUCUCAGAUGGAGAUGAGGAACUUGUUGGGAACUGGAACAAAGGUGACCCUUGUUAUGUUUUAGCAAAGAGACUGGUGGCAUUUUGCUCCUGCCUUAGAGAUUUGCAGAACUUUGAACUUGAGAGAGAUGAUUUAGAGUAUCUGGUGGAAGAAAUGUCUAAGCAACAAAGUAUUCAAGAGGUGACUUGGGCGUUCUUAAACACAUUCAGUUUUAUAAGGGAAGCAGAGCAUAAAAGUUCAGAAACUUGCAGCCUGACAAUGUAAUAGAAAAGAAAAUUCUAUUUUCUGAGGAGAAAUUCAAGCUGGCUGCAGAAAUUUGCAUAAGAAAUGGGGACCCAAAUAUUAAUCUCCAAGACAAUGGGGAAAAUGUCUCCAGGGCAUUUCAGAGGUCUUCAUGGCAGCCCCUCCCAUCACGGGACCAGAGGCCUAGGAGGAAAAAAAUGGUUUCUUGGGCCAGGCCCAGGGUCUCCGUGCUGUGUGCAGCCUAGGGACUUGGUGCCCUGCAUCCCAGCUACUCCAGCCAUGAUUAAAAGGGCCCAAGGUACAGCUCGGGCCGUGGCUGCAGAGGGUGCAAGCCUCAAGCCUUGGAAGCUUCUAUGUGGAAUUCAACCUGUGGGUGCACAGAAGUCAAGAACUGAGGCUUGGGAACCUCUGCCUAGAUUUCAGAGGAUGUAUGGAAACGCCUGGAUAUCCAGGAAGUUUGCUGCAGGGACAGGGCCCUCAUGGAGAACCUCUGCUGGGACAGUGUGGAAAGGAAAUGUGGAGUUGGAGUCCCCACACAGAGUCCCAACUGGGGCACCACCUAGUGGAGCUGUGAGAAGAGGGCCACUGUCCUCCAGACCCCAGAAUGGUAGAUCCACCGACAGCUUGCACAUGUGCCUGGAAAAUCGGCAGACACUCAACACCAGCCCAUGAAAGCAGCCAGAAGGGAGGGUGUACCCUGCAAAGCCACAGGGGCUGAGCUGCCCAAGACCAUGGGAACCCACUUCUUGCAUCAGCGUGACCCGGAUGCGAGACAUGGAGUCAAAGGAGAUCAUUUUGGAGAUUUAAGACUUAACUGCCCUGCUGGAUUUCUGAUUUGUAUGGGGACCAGAGCGCCUUUGUUUUGGCCAAUUUCUCCCAUUUGGAAUGGCUGUAUUUACCCGAUACCUGUACCCCCAUUGUAUCUGGGAAGUAACUAACUUGCUUUUGAUCUUACAAGCUCCUAGGCGAAAGGAAUGUGCCUUGUCUCAGAUGAGACUUUGGACUGUGGACUUUUGAGUUAAUGCUGAAAUGAGUUAAGACUUUGGGAGACUGUUGGGAAGGCAUGACUGGUUUUGAAACGUGAGAACAUGAGAUUUGGGAGGGGCCAGAGGCGGGAUGAUAUGGUUUGGCUGUGUCCCCACCGAAAUCUCAUUUUGAAUUGUAACUCCCACAACUCCUGUGUGUCAUUGGAGGAACCCAGUGGGAGGUGAUCGAAUUAUGGGGGCAGGUCUUUCCUGUGCGGUUCUCAUGAUGGUAAAUGAGUCUCACAAGAGCUGAUCGUUUUAAAAGUGGGAGUUUCCCUGUACAAGCUGUCUCUCUUGCCUGCUGCCAUUCAUGUAAGAUGUGACUUACUCCUCCUUGCCUUCCACAAUGAUUGUGAGGCCGUCCCAGCCAUGUGGG
Long non-coding RNA from Homo sapiens (human), 5557 nucleotides. Ensembl annotates it as ATP13A3 divergent transcript. Its record names the gene ATP13A3-DT. The record is from Ensembl. Lineage: Eukaryota; Metazoa; Chordata; Mammalia; Primates; Hominidae.